ACUCUCAGGGAAACAAAAGGGCUGCUUUUGUUGUUGAUUUGUAUAUUUGUUCUAAUGUUUACUGACUCUGAAGCUGAGUGGAAGAAAUAUAGCCAGUUUUUACUAAGUUGCUAUUACUUUGGGUAGACGAGAUCUCUUGAAAUAAACCUGAAACCUCAGAGGGGAUUUUUUUGUUCUGAAACCUGAAUUUCCUGUGAACCACCCUCUGUAGCUGCCCAGACUGAUUCUGCCAUACAGAGACUAUACCCUAGGACUCUACAAAAGCUAACAUGAAAUAACAUCAGAGAAUUAGUUCCUCAAGAUGAACACAUACCAUUUUGCCAAGAGGACAGAAAAGGAUGAGAGCAUGGAUCUAACAAGGCAGCCUUGCAUUGCUACUCACAGAGUGGAACUAUUCUUGGAGCUACAAGGAGCUCCUUCAAACACAGAUUCUGUUGCUGUAUAAGGAAUCAAAGAUUGCGUCAGCCUCAUGACGAGGAACUGGACACCAGAGCGUACUUUAACCUACACCAUCUUUUGACUCUUUUUCAUCCAAGUUAAACCAGCUGAGACUCCCUUACACCUGCUUUGUCACAGGUCUUCACACAGAUGCAAGCAGCUCACUGGAAAAGUCACAGUUAAACCAAACUUUAAAACUGUCCAAGAACUGACUUCCUCGACAGCUCUGAUUCAGGCUCCCAAAAAUGCUCUGCACAGUGACUCAUGCUUCCUUCUGGAAAUGACAGAACUUCCUCAUCAUGCUGUUCUCCCUUGUCCUCUUCUCAUCUCCUGUCCAAUCAGGAAAGGAUUGAAUUUCAUGUUACAUUUUUUCCUGUGCUCGGCAGGGAGAUGCAUCCUUUUUGCAGGGGAAGAGCUUCUAUGAGUCAAGGGUUGACAAACUGAAAAUUAGUACCAGCCCUAGAAAUAAAUUACAAACAACAACUACAUAAAACCCGGAGCGGUGGACAGUGGGUGUAUAUUGGAUUGAUGUCCCUCUUGCAACUUGAGUUGCAGAACUGUCCUAAGAAGAACUUGCUUUCCAGGGCUGAAAUUAGUGGCAAAGUUAAAACUGUUGUCCCUUUCUUUUGUGUGAUUGGUUUUCUAGGGCUUGUAAGUUUUCUAUCAGGUAAGCUAAUGCUAUGUGUACAAGACAGGGAACCAUAGCAGCCAAUCCUAUUCAGAAAGAAGCUUGUAUUUACCAGAGAACUAUCCAUGAGGGGGAAAAGGACAGUGCCAAAAAUAUUUUGUUCCAGUGAAAUCUAUGCUGCCGACUGUUCCAUAACAGUUACAAUGACAGCAAUGCACAGAGACAUUUUGCUACAUAGAACUUAAAAAAAAAUGUCCUCUGAUUUACUGAACAACAUGUAUUUGGGAUAAAUAUCUUACCAUAUGGGGAGUGAUGACUUGCACUGGAAGGAGAAUUUUAAACAGCCCU
Long non-coding RNA from Mauremys mutica (yellowpond turtle), 1414 nucleotides. RefSeq lists it as uncharacterized. The transcript has 4 exons. The record is from RefSeq and is a predicted model, not a curated record. NCBI's taxonomy places the organism in Eukaryota, Metazoa, Chordata, Testudines, Geoemydidae.